Molecule: non-coding RNA, 142 nt
Organism: Brachypodium distachyon (stiff brome)
Lineage: Eukaryota; Viridiplantae; Streptophyta; Magnoliopsida; Poales; Poaceae
Source: Rfam
UUUAUACUCUUUCUGUCCAACAAAGGAUGUCUCAACUUCAACUUUGAUCAAAUUUGAAUGCAUCUAUAUAUUAAAUCAUGUCUAGAUACAUCCAAAUUUUGACAAACUUAAAACAUCUUUUAUUGGACGGAGGGAGUACUGA